Humulus lupulus (European hop) is the source of this 107-nucleotide small nucleolar RNA. The record is from RefSeq and is a predicted model, not a curated record. Lineage: Eukaryota; Viridiplantae; Streptophyta; Magnoliopsida; Rosales; Cannabaceae.
AUUCCAUAAUGUGGGCAUUUUAUUUGCAACUCUUUAAAUCACUCCAAUGCAUCAUAUAAAGAUUUCCCAUCCAGCUGGUGGAAAUUAUUAAUCUCUCCUCUUAUUCU